CCUACGGGAGGCAGCAGUGGGGAAUAUUGCACAAUGGACGGAAGUCUGAUGCAGCAACGCCGCGUGCGGGAUGACGGCCUUCGGGUUGUAAACCGCUUUCAUCCAUGACGAAGCUUUUGUGACGGUAGUGGGUAAAGAAGCACCGGCUAACUACGUGCCAGCAGCCGCGGUGAUACGUAGGGUGCGAGCGUUGUCCGGAUUUAUUGGGCGUAAAGGGCUUGUAGGCGGUUUGUCGCGUCGGGAGUGAAAACUCGGAGCUUAACUUUGAGCUUGCUUUCGAUACGGGCUGACUUGAGGGAGGUAGGGGAGAAUGGAAUUCCUGGUGGAGCGGUGGAAUGCGCAGAUAUCAGGAGGAACACCGGUGGCGAAGGCGGUUCUCUGGACCUUUCCUGACGCUGAGAAGCGAAAGCGUGGGGAGCGAACAGGAUUAGAUACCCUUGUAGCC
This 445-nucleotide ribosomal RNA is filed under the name uncultured Propionibacteriaceae bacterium. RNAcentral's name for it is "bacterial SSU rRNA". It matches the Rfam family "Bacterial small subunit ribosomal RNA", at positions 338 to 795 of the family's 1533-position model. The record is from RNAcentral. Lineage: Bacteria; Bacillati; Actinomycetota; Actinomycetes; Propionibacteriales; Propionibacteriaceae.